This 69-nucleotide transfer RNA is filed under the name Ovis aries (sheep). It matches the Rfam family "tRNA". From Rfam's summary of the family: Transfer RNA (tRNA) molecules are approximately 80 nucleotides in length. Their secondary structure includes four short double-helical elements and three loops (D, anti-codon, and T loops). Lineage: Eukaryota; Metazoa; Chordata; Mammalia; Artiodactyla; Bovidae. The record is from Rfam by way of RNAcentral.
CCUGAUGGCUCAGAGGUUAAAGCGUCUGCCUACAAUGCGGGAGACCCGGGUUCAAUCCCUGGGUCAGGA